CCUUCGAUAGCUCAGUUGGUAGAGCGGAGGACUGUAGAUCCUUAGGUCGCUGGUUCAACUCCGGCUUGAAGGA
RNAcentral lists this transfer RNA (73 nucleotides) under Merluccius polli (Benguela hake). RNAcentral describes it as "tRNA-Tyr". It matches the Rfam family "tRNA". Rfam says of the family: Transfer RNA (tRNA) molecules are approximately 80 nucleotides in length. Their secondary structure includes four short double-helical elements and three loops (D, anti-codon, and T loops). Further hydrogen bonds mediate the characteristic L-shaped molecular structure. tRNAs have two regions of fundamental functional importance: the anti-codon, which is responsible for specific mRNA codon recognition, and the 3' end, to which the tRNAs corresponding amino acid is attached (by aminoacyl-tRNA synthetases). tRNAs cope with the degeneracy of the genetic code in two manners: having more than one tRNA (with a specific anti-codon) for a particular amino acid; and 'wobble' base-pairing, i.e. permitting non-standard base-pairing at the 3rd anti-codon position. Lineage: Eukaryota; Metazoa; Chordata; Actinopteri; Gadiformes; Merlucciidae. The record is from RNAcentral.